AUUGAACGCUGGCGGCAGGCCUAACACAUGCAAGUCGAACGGUAACAGAAAGCAGCUUGCUGCUUUGCUGACGAGUGGCGGACGGGUGAGUAAUGUCUGGGAAACUGCCUGAUGGAGGGGGAUAACUACUGGAAACGGUAGCUAAUACCGCAUAACGUCGCAAGACCAAAGAGGGGGACCUUCGGGCCUCUUGCCAUCGGAUGUGCCCAGAUGGGAUUAGCUAGUAGGUGGGGUAAUGGCUCACCUAGGCGACGAUCCCUAGCUGGUCUGAGAGGAUGACAAGCCACACUGGAACUGAGACACGGUCCAGACUCCUACGGGAGGCAGCAGUGGGGAAUAUUGCACAAUGGGCGCAAGCCUGAUGCAGCCAUGCCGCGUGUAUGAAGAAGGCCUUCGGGUUGUAAAGUACUUUCAGCGAGGAGGAAGGUGUUGUGGUUAAUAACCACAGCAAUUGACGUUACUCGCAGAAGAAGCACCGGCUAACUCCGUGCCAGCCGCCGCCGUAA
Molecule: ribosomal RNA, 506 nt
Filed under: uncultured bacterium
Lineage: Bacteria
Description: partial 16S ribosomal RNA
Rfam family: Bacterial small subunit ribosomal RNA
Source: RNAcentral